RNAcentral lists this ribosomal RNA (507 nucleotides) under uncultured bacterium. Its description in RNAcentral is "partial 16S ribosomal RNA". It matches the Rfam family "Bacterial small subunit ribosomal RNA", at positions 28 to 507 of the family's 1533-position model. The record is from RNAcentral.
GACGAACGCUGGCGGCGUGCCUAAUACAUGCAAGUCGAACGCAUUUUCUUUCACCGUAGCUUGCUACACCGAAAGAAACUGAGUGGCGAACGGGUGAGUAACACGUGGGUAACCUGCCCAUCAGCGGGGGAUAACACUUGGAAACAGGUGCUAAUACCGCAUAAUUCCAUUUACCGCAUGGUAGAUGGAUGAAAGGCGCUUUUGCGUCACUGAUUGAUGGACUCGCGGUGCAUUAGCUAGUCGGUGGGGUAACGGCCUACCAAGGCUGCGAUGCAUAGCCGACAUGAGAGGGUGAUCGGCCACACUGGGACUGAGACACGGCCCAGACUCCUACGGGAGGCAGCAGUAGGGAAUCUUCGGCAAUGGACACAAGUCUGACCGAGCAACGCCGCGUGAGUGAAGAAGGUUUUCGGAUCGUAAAUCUCGGUUGUUAGAGAAGAACAAGGAUGAGAGUGGAAAGUUCAUCCCUUGACGGUAUCUAACCAGAAAGCCACGGCUAACUACGUG